RNAcentral lists this ribosomal RNA (253 nucleotides) under uncultured bacterium. Its description in RNAcentral is "partial 16S ribosomal RNA". It matches the Rfam family "Bacterial small subunit ribosomal RNA", at positions 524 to 776 of the family's 1533-position model. The record is from RNAcentral.
UACGUAGGGUGCAAGCGUUGUCCGGAAUUAUUGGGCGUAAAGAGCUCGUAGGCGGUUUGUUGCGUCGGCUGUGAAAUCCCGAGGCUCAACCUCGGGUCUGCAGUCGAUACGAGCAAACUAGAGUGUUGCAGGGGAGACUGGAAUUCCUGGUGUAGCGGUGAAAUGCGCAGAUAUCAGGAGGAACACCGGUGGCGAAAGCGGCCACCUGGACUGCACCUGACGCUGACACGCGAAAGCUAGGGGAGCGAACGGG